GCAUUGGUGGUUCAGUGGUAGAAUUAUUGCCUGACAUGCGGGAGGCCCGGGUUUGUUUCCCGGCCAAUGCA
RNAcentral lists this transfer RNA (71 nucleotides) under Ameiurus melas (black bullhead). It matches the Rfam family "tRNA". Rfam says of the family: Transfer RNA (tRNA) molecules are approximately 80 nucleotides in length. Their secondary structure includes four short double-helical elements and three loops (D, anti-codon, and T loops). The record is from Rfam by way of RNAcentral. Lineage: Eukaryota; Metazoa; Chordata; Actinopteri; Siluriformes; Ictaluridae.